GAUGAACGCUGGCGGCGUGCUUAACGCAUGCAAGUCGAACGAAGCACUUUAUUUGAUUUCCUUCGGGAUUGAUUAUUUUGUGACUGAGUGGCGGACGGGUGAGUAACGCGUGGGUAACCUGCCUUGUACAGGGGGAUAACAGUUGGAAACGGCUGCUAAUACCGCAUAAGCGCACAGCAUCGCAUGAUGCAGUGUGAAAAACUCCGGUGGUAUAAGAUGGACCCGCGUUGGAUUAGCUAGUUGGUGAGGUAACGGCCCACCAAGGCGACGAUCCAUAGCCGACCUGAGAGGGUGACCGGCCACAUUGGGACUGAGACACGGCCCAAACUCCUACGGGAGGCAGCAGUGGGGAAUAUUGCACAAUGGGCGAAAGCCUGAUGCAGCGACGCCGCGUGAGCGAAGAAGUAUUUCGGUAUGUAAAGCUCUAUCAGCAGGGAAGAUAAUGACGGUAC
Molecule: ribosomal RNA, 452 nt
Filed under: uncultured bacterium
Lineage: Bacteria
Description: bacterial SSU rRNA
Rfam family: Bacterial small subunit ribosomal RNA
Source: RNAcentral